This 21-nucleotide microRNA is filed under the name Monodelphis domestica (gray short-tailed opossum). Its description in RNAcentral is "mdo-miR-181a-2-3p". Its record names the gene mdo-miR-181a-2-3p. The record is from miRBase by way of RNAcentral. Lineage: Eukaryota; Metazoa; Chordata; Mammalia; Didelphimorphia; Didelphidae.
CCAUCGACCGUUGACUGUGCC